RNAcentral lists this long non-coding RNA (311 nucleotides) under Homo sapiens (human). RNAcentral describes it as "HSALNT0114333". Lineage: Eukaryota; Metazoa; Chordata; Mammalia; Primates; Hominidae. The record is from RNAcentral.
AUUUGCAGAGCUCUGCAGAAAUUGCACAUCUGGCUCUUUGCCUGUGCACCUGAAGUUAUCUCAGGAGAAAUUAUACAAAUUAAAUACAGACACAGAGAAGGUCUUUUUUAAUUCAAAGGAAAAGAAUAUAUAUUCAAGAAAAGCAAAAAAGGUGGAAGUUGGGCCUUUGGUCAUUAAUUCUCUCUCUCUCGGUUGCACACUGCUUCAAGGUAGUAAUUGUUAAUUAUUCAAGACUGACUUCUUGUAAAGUAAUCUUCUAGAAAGACAGCUGGACUUUUAAGACUUCAUGAACUCUAAAGAUAUGGCAGGCC